AUGAUCCACUCCACGCUGUGCACCACUAGGCCUGGUGAUACAAGAGCUCCUGAGAAGGACCCACUCUAAAGCUCUCAGAUGGUGCCUGAUGACCAGCAAGGCCUGUGAUCGAUUUGGUUGCCUGGAGCCCAUGUUGAUUUGAGAUUUCAACAGUUCUGAACUUGCUGCAUCCAGCCCAGCCAGGGCUCUGCAGGGAUCCUGGGGUUUCAUUCCCUCUCCUGAUCCUGACGACUGAGCUGAAAGAGCAGGGAAGAGUCCCUAUAGCCUUGAGAGACAGAGCUUGAGACAUCCCGCUUGAGGUGCUGGAGAUGAUCUUCCCUGCCUUGGACUCAAGGAGGUGAGAGCACCCUGAUGUGAGACCUUGGGCAAUCAGGUGAACCUGGAAAUCACAGACACACACCGGUUUGGGUUGGAAGGGACCUUAAAGCUCACCCAGUCCCAACCCUUGCCACCUUCCACUAGAGCAGGUUGCAUCCAACCUGGCCUUGAACACUCCACUAGUUUUAAAUCAUAACUGCACCAUGAAACUUGAGCAACGUAGCUUUGUAAAGCUCCCUCUCUGUCUUAUUUCACUCAGUCAAGACAUAACCCUUAGACCUUAUUGCCAUUAAUGUGGGGUCUGGAUAAAGUGGAGGUUUCAAGCAGGGACACAAAACCAUCCUCAUUCCCAUCCUACCCCCAGCUCUAACAGCAGGAAGUGUUGAGGAUGAGGAGGAGAGCAAACCCCCACAUGGGUUGGGUUGGUUUUCUGAGUGACCCCAUCAACAGCAGAGUAGAACAAGAAGUUGGAGCUGUUUAGGAACUUCCCUGCAUUAUUUCCUGACUCCAACUUGAAGCUCCAGAUAUUCCUCCCACCAAAGAGGGCAUCUUUUUAAGUGGAUUUACCUUUUCAGCUCUAACCACUGCUGGUCCCCCUCGCCUUUAGCUAUGUUUCACCAGCAGGAUUAGGCUUUGCAUGAUCUGCCCUUAGCAAUGUCCUGGGAGCUCAUAUCAUGCACCGGACCCUGUUUCCCCACUUCCAAACACCUUCUCCUUCCUUUUCAGUAUGUCCCCCUGCUGCCAAAAGUAACUGAACCCUGGAUCUUCAAUUCUUUUUAUGCCUUUGCCCUACUGAAGCACUGCAAAAUGUUACUCGGAACUGAACCUUCCUCUCAAAGCCACACCACACAGCGUAAGCUCCUGCAGUCAGAAGUCUCCUGACAUCUCCUCGAUGUUCAAUCUAUUGAUAGAAGAUAUUCUGUCAUGAUACUUUUUUCACAAGCUAUGUAUUUGCUCUUGCUAGGGCUUCUCAAAUCAAACUGACGUGUCAGGGCUCCUGGCUUAUGCCAGCACAACAAGGUUUCUUGAGAGUAAAUCACUGCAUUUGCAAGGCUGGAGCUGGGAGCUGGAUUUCUGCUUCUGGGGACCAGCCUGCAGAGAAAAGCUCAUCCAGGCCAUGCAAAGAUGCAAAAGAAUACAGAUCUAGGGUGAAUUUGGGGAGAAAAGUAGCAACUGCAUCCACAGUGGGUUGCAUUAAAGCUUGCAGAGGUGAAGGAAGGACCCAAAGUAAAUGAGUCCACCUGGGAUAAUCAGGAAUAGCUCUUCUGGCCAGAGCAAAGCCUGAGGAGCAGUGCUGAGGGGAAUGAAAGACAAACUGCUUUUUCCUCAUGCCCUCCCUCUUGUUAUUAUCUACACAUAAAUUAUUCACAUUCUUUGCAGGUUGAGUCUUGUCUUGACUGAAGGGGUUCAGAUCAUUAGAAACACAACAAUUCUCUGCAUAGUUCAUGACAAAAGAAGCUCCAACAGGGUAGCAGGUUAGAAGCACGGGGAAAAGGGACAGAAUUCCUUCUGCUGCCAUUUCUGCUCCGAAGAGCUUCCUGAGGUCUCUGGCCUCCUGAUACCAGAGACUCCUGGAUACUCAGCAAGAAAAAAGCCACAGCAUGGAGAAGAUGGAAGGACCUCUCAGAUAGGCCAGAGAAUCCAUUGUGAGUAAGAGUGGGAUGCGUUUGGGGAGUAUCACCCCAGGGGGAGAGGUUAGAGACGCUGUGCACAGCCUCCCCUUGUGCCCUGCACAGCUUUCAAGGUAGAUUUCAUUCUGUCCAUUUAAGAAAUGAAUGUGCCUUUAAAAGUUUCCAGUAAAGAGCUAUCUCAGAGCAAACAUGAUCCAGCCCAGAACUGCUGUUUCAGCAUUACCUGAAUGCUCAAGGUCACUGCAGUUUGCUGCUUUUUCAGCGCCAGAGUGGCAUUUCGCCAUCAGCAUUUCCAUGAAAUGGGUCAUUUUUGAUGAAUUCUCAGGUUUGGAUGGCAAGAGAGGAGGAGCACUGGAUGGUUUCCAAGCAGUUCCAUUACAGAUGCCAGUGUUUGGCAUGGGGCCUCUCUCACCCUGCUUCAUCGAUCACCAAGACAUGACCUCAAAGGGUUGGGUCUGCCCAGUGAUGGGGUCUGGAUGAGCAUCCCCAUGCUUCCUCUGUGGGCAUCUCCACUGUAGCUCCCCUAGUUCAAGAAGAAAUACCCUCUUUAAGAGGGGCAGGCAGAGCCAUGGCUCAGCUAAUAGGAAAGGAAGUUUCUAGAAGCGAUUGGAGUUGGUGGGCCCCACAUCACACUUCAGUCCCACAAGCUGGCAGUGAACAAGUCAGUUCAGUGCUGGAAUGAGGCUUCCACCUCAUCCCAGGGCCAUCAGGGUCGUGCUGGAAGGCGAUGCAGGGAAGCAGCUCUCAUAAGCUGCAGUGCAGGUCCUUCAGCUGAUGAAGACAAGGCUCCUCCAGCUCCAGCUCAUGCUGGAAGUCAGCCUUUCUCUUCCCUAACAUAUGCUUGGGAUGCCUACUGGGACACAUGGCUGCCUGCUGGAGCUGAAACUGUGGGGAGAAUGUCCUGCUGACACAAGAGCUAAUGAAAUAUUUGCACUAUACUAUCCCUGUGUGCUAUUAUAUAUGUAUAAAUGUAUAUAUAUAAUGUAUGUAUAAUGUAGAUAUGUAUAAAAAUCAGGACACAAAUUGAAUAUAAACAUAUGUGUGUGUGUGUGUGUAUAUAUAUAAGCAUACCAAGAAUUUACUUGCAAGUAAUUAUGAAUGAGGAACUUGCACACUGCCAUGGUCUCAGCAGGCACAGCUCCCCCCUUCUCCCUCCCAUCUUCCUGCAUCACUGUCUGUUAUCUAGCUAAAAAUAAAGGAGUGUUGGGCACCCAUGUGUCCCAUGGGUGACCACACGAUAAACAUCAAGCCUUGGUGCUAGCAAUCCAUAAACGGGUGGGGAGCAGCAGCCAGCAUCUCUCUGUGCAGUUGUUGCCUCAAGAGGUACCCAGGCUCCAGCCCUGCAGUGCAGCAAGGAGGUGGGGAAUGAGGAUGCUGCUCAUGGACCCCAGUCCCACUCCUCCCAGGCUUUCCCUCAUCCAGAGCUAAGGCAGUUUUUAGCUUCAAGUGAGCCAUUAGAGGCUCUCUCAGCCCAGAGCAUCCUCAGAGGUUGUAAACCCUCCGGCCACAGUGAUAAAAACCCAGCAGGGCUCUUUUUCCCAAUCCAGCCCCUUUCCAUGACCUCUCGAUGGGAUUACGGCCUCCUCAUGCUCCACUGCUCUCUUCAAACACAUUGUCACACCAGGACUUACCCACCUGCAAUCACGCUUCAGUGCCCAUUCCCCCCCAGCGGUUACCAGGGACGCGGAGCAGCCAGGCUGAACAGAAGUGCUGAUGCUGAGGUUUUACAAUGAGUUUGAGCCCCACCACCUCCUGCUUUGCUCUCAUUCAAUUGCACAGGGGGGUGGCACAGGUUAGGGUCCCAGAUGGGUUAUUUAUCCUGCAGCUGAUGAGGGACAAAUCACUGUGGGACUCUUUACAUCACACUCUUAUGAUGGAAAGAGGAAGAUGGGCAGCAGCUGGGAGAGGCUCAGCUUCAGUGCCACAAGCUGAAGGCAAAACUGGCAGGGGAUUAUCCUAAAUCAUCCCUAUCCCAUUCCCAAUUGGAGAUGCUCCAGGGCUGAUGGAAACGUAGGUGGUGGGUUGGCUUUUUGAGGGAGAUCUUUUUUCCCUUCUAAGCAAUCAGGUGGUUUCUAAGGCUGGGUUGGGAAGAGCGUGGUCCACCCUGGGAGGAUGUGGUGGGCAAGAAACCAUUGCAAAGCUACAGCAUUGCCAUUUCCCCUCCAGGCUGUGGAUGUUUUAAACAGGCAGCAGAAGCCAAAGUAUGGGGAAAUUGCCAAAGAGUUGAAAGGGCCCCCUUGUUAGUGUAAGCAGCAAGGGAGGGGGCUUUCCAAGAGCUAUUUAAACAUUAACCAGCACAACAAUUGCCCUGUGUUCCUAUUCCCAAUUACCACAAUGGUCUUUCACCUCUGCAGGGUCUUGAGCUGCCUCCGGCCCUGGCACAGUGCUAGGACAGUGACAGGAGCCUCCGUGCCACCUCCUCUGCCUGCAGGACUUCGUGACCACCCCUUUGGGUUGCCAAGAGCCUGAGGGCAUCUGAAGUGAUGUGAUGAGGGUUAGGUGGGAGCUGAUGGCACUGAGACGCAGCUUUGUGUCCUGCUCUCUUUCCAGCAGCAAAGUACAGGUUUGAAAGCAAUGCCAGGUGGGAUCAGGAGCUUUGGGUGUACUUUGUCUCUCCAGACACCAACUUCUGGGAAUACUGCAGCCCCAGCUCUGAGGUAUCACAAGAAACUGUCUGAGCUGACGGCAGCCCACUCCAGAGGCAGAAUGUGGGUACCAUUGGGCCGGAGUGAUAAAGGACAAUGAAGAUGAUGAUAAUGAUGGUGAUGACAAUGAUGAUGAUGAGUUGAUGAAGAGCUGGGUGAAACGAUCUGUACAUUCCAUUCCACAGUGCCUGACCCUCAUGCUGCAGCAUCUUUGCAAGCCAUCAGAUGUCCUUAGUCAAGGCUGUCAUGGAGGGAGGAUGAGGGUAUCAUAAGGACCAUGGGAUUAUGUCUGGUCACCCAUCAGCUGGGUGCAGCUCCAGCAUGAACACUUGGGAGAUUUAUAGGCUUCAUAAUUCACCUUCCACCAGUACUUUAAUGUAAUUGUUGGUUGUUUUGUGUUUUUUUGUAAGCUUUCCUCCUUUAAAUCUCACUCAAAGAUCUGCGGGAAGCAAACACAGGUUAAGCUGAAACAAACCGAAUGGUUUAUAGAGCAAAUAUUCCCAUGCUGGGCUCUCCAUAUUCCCAUGUGAUUGUAAACCAUCCUCAAUAAGACUGUGCUUGUGCUGAAGUG
Long non-coding RNA from Pezoporus occidentalis (night parrot), 5165 nucleotides. RefSeq lists it as uncharacterized. Lineage: Eukaryota; Metazoa; Chordata; Aves; Psittaciformes; Psittacidae. The transcript is spliced from 4 exons. The record is from RefSeq and is a predicted model, not a curated record.